RNAcentral lists this ribosomal RNA (118 nucleotides) under Lepisosteus oculatus (spotted gar). Lineage: Eukaryota; Metazoa; Chordata; Actinopteri; Semionotiformes; Lepisosteidae. The record is from RNAcentral.
GCCAGCAGUCAUAUCACUAUGCAACUCGCAAUUGGCAACCCACUCAGCUCAGCAGGUGUGAGCCUGGUCAGUACCUGGAUGGGAGACCUCCUGGGAAAAACUAAGGUUGCUGCUGGAA